RNAcentral lists this ribosomal RNA (439 nucleotides) under uncultured bacterium. RNAcentral describes it as "partial 16S ribosomal RNA". It matches the Rfam family "Bacterial small subunit ribosomal RNA", at positions 338 to 795 of the family's 1533-position model. The record is from RNAcentral.
CCUACGGGGCGCAGCAGUGGGGAAUAUUGCACAAUGGGGGAAACCCUGAUGCAGCGACGCCGCGUGAGUGAAGAAGUAUCUCGGUACGUAAAGCUCUAUCAGCAGGGAAGAAAAUGACGGUACCUGACUAAUAAGCCCCGGCUAAUACGUGGCAGCAGCCGCGGUUAUAGGUAGGGGGCAAGCGUUAUCCGGAUUUUCUGGGUGUACAGGGAGCGUAGACGGCAGCACAAGUCUGGAGUGAAAUCCCGGGGCUUAACCCCGGAAAUGCUUUGGAAACGGUGCGGCUGGAUUGCAGGAGGGGUAAGCGGAAUUCCUAGUGUAGCGGUGAAAUGCGUAGAUAGUAGGAGGACCACCGGUGGCGAAGGCGGCUUACUGGACUGUAACUGACGUUGAGGCUCGAAAGCGUGGGGAGCAAACAGGAUUAGAUACCCGAGUAGUC